Molecule: long non-coding RNA, 898 nt
Organism: Populus euphratica (Euphrates poplar)
Lineage: Eukaryota; Viridiplantae; Streptophyta; Magnoliopsida; Malpighiales; Salicaceae
Exons: 2
Source: RefSeq, a predicted model, not a curated record
UUGUCGGUUUAGUUAGUUUUUUCAAAUUCUAAAAUUUGAAGUCAAAACUAAAUUAACCCCCCCCUUUUUUAAUUUCGUAACCAAAAUUAUCCAACAAAUUCAAAAAAUUGUUUAGUUCAAUUAAUUUUAUAUUAAUUUCUACGGAUUAUUUUGGUCGUUCUCAUUAAUCAUACGCGUCCCUUGAAAAUUAAGUUAGGAUGUAAUCAUGAACAAGAUGGGGAGCAAGAACACCUGAUUAAUUGAAUCCUCUCGGUUUGAGUAACCAUAAAAAGUCAGCAUUACAUCACAUGAAGCAAAAGACAAGUGGAUCGGUUGAUUCGUUGAAGAGAGGCACCUUUUCCCAUCACCGUCUCCAUCAUCACUUUUCAUUUAAGAUCGCUUUUCCUUGCAAGGCAUCGCAUAUAAUAAUACAGUCUGGAGGACUGUUAAACGAUUUUGUUUGGAUGGAGAGAAAUAAAUAAGCAUAGUUAUGCAGCACCAAGAUGAUCUCAGAGUUAAUCCCAAGGGAUAUACAUGAUGAGGCGGUGGCAAAGGAAGGACAAUGUUUUCUCCUUCUAUUUUAUUGCUGGGAAAAGUUUGGUGAGGUGAGUAAAUGUGUGAAGAUGGAAGGUCGGGCGGUCUUCAGUAAGAAGAGUAAAGGAUGCCUGCUAUCAUCACUUCCACAGUCAGACAAAGAUUCCCCAUUCAUACUCCUAGCUAGCGUGCAUGCUUUUUCUAUAUAUUUACUGCCCUGUACUACUACUGUUACUUUCACAAUUCCAUUUUCCCCUUGCUCCACAUCCCCUGCAGGAACAACACAUACUGUACAUUCUCUUUACAGGCAUUUCAUGAAAAUUGCAGACAUGUCAAUGAAUAUAUAUCUGUGGUCUAGAUAUAACAAUAUUUUUCUGUUUUAAUU